GGUUCCAUUGGUUCACAAAGAUUCUUUGAAGGGCAACCAUGCGGUAGCAGGAACUGAAGAAGCAAUGGAUAGAUACAACAUAGUGAGCGAGAAAAGAAGAUAACGAGAAAAACUAUUGUUCCUGUAGUAUUUUAUGUUGUUCAAUUUUGUGUUUUUUAGUCCUCCCUUUAAGAAUUUCACAUAUGAUUUCACAUGUGAAACACUCUCUCCUUCGCAGAGCCUCCUGAAUAAAAGUGAGCGCGCAGUGUGAUGGGAAGAUUGAAAUAAAGUCGAGAAGGCUUUGCCACAUAAUGCAACGACGUAUGGUUUUUGAAUCAAACCAGCUAUUUGACCUUUUCUUAAACUUGAAAUCGACGGAAAUGUGGAAGAAAUUGAAAUAAAUCUUCAUAAUCUGAGUAUCGAAGUUCAGCAGAGUCACUCCUAUUAGUCCUAUAAAGAAAUGUUGCAAUUUAGAGGAUAUUUAUAGUUAGAUACCUUAUAUUCAUUUGCAAUUUCUCAAUAUAUUUUUCGGUGCAAAUGGAUGAAGAAGAUAUUGACAUUGGAUUCAUUCCAGGAGAUUCAAGUACGCCUGAAAAGGAAAGUGGAAAACAUGUUUUAACACCCUCGAAGGUUGAUAUCGAACCGAACUCCAAACGAUUAUAUACGAUGCCAUAUUGAUUGCAUAUUUAACUAGCAGAAGCUUCCUUUAUUUCGCUCUUCCCAUUACUCCUUGCGUUCACUUUUCCUUCACUAGAAACUUCAUGUAAGCCUCUGCGGAGGAAAGAGUGUGAAACAUGCGAAGUGUUCCAAUUCCACAAAAGAAAUAAUUAUUUCACAUGUGAAAUUAAUUUUCAAUUAUUAUAAACCUUUACCUCACAUGUAAAACUUAUAUUUCAAAGUAUGUGAAACUCAAUUCAUAUGUAAAAUUCUAAAUUUCACUUACGAAAUGACUGAACAUUUUCACAUGUACAAUGUUCCAGCAAAGCACAUAAAACGGUUUAUAUGUAUAAAAUGAUAAUUAUGUGAAUUUUCCCAAGGGCUAUCUUACUUUCACGUCCUUUACUAUGUCUGUGCUAUAAAUAUGAAAUCUUGCGUUGAAUCUGAAAUUUCUUUGUUCUAGAACUCACGCAGUCCACGAAAUUCAAAUGAAGAAGAUAUCAUAAUGAAAAACUCAGAUGAGGUU
Paramuricea clavata is the source of this 1162-nucleotide non-coding RNA. The record is from the annotation of a GenBank genome assembly. Lineage: Eukaryota; Metazoa; Cnidaria; Anthozoa; Malacalcyonacea; Plexauridae.